UUAACAGUGUAUCAGUGAAAGCAGAAAAACUUAUUCAGAAGACACAGCAGCACACCAGAACACUAACAUAACCACUGCAACAACAUAUGCCAGUUCAGAACUGCUGAAUGCAGGAUGUGGAUGGUAGCAUUUUCCAUGGCUGUGUGACGGAUGGUGCAGCGUCGGAGAUGCAGCAGCGAUGCUCUUCUAUCCUCUGUCAGACCUGCUGAGUCACUGUGUGUGCAGAGCACAGGCACAUCUAGGAAACCAUCACUUGCAUUCAUCUUAUUUGAGGAUGUUAAUGGUCCAUAUACUCUGCAAAUGUGACCUUCCUCUAUUUAACAAGCUUUUUGCUACGAUGCUCAUUUUUCCAUAACAUUGCUGCAACAUGCAUCAAUCCUUAGUUUGCACAUUUUUAUUAAAACCCCUAAAAUUAGAGCUGCAGAUUUAUAAAAUACAUGGACCUAAAUUAUUAUUUAGCAAUUCUUGAUUAUUUAUGCGCAGUAAAAUUUGAUUUGAUGCUUGUUCAAAUGAUUUAUUCUUGCACAACCUCUGGUACCUGAUGAUGAAGAUAAAUGGAAUUAUGUAUUAUUGAUGCUGUGGUUUUAAUUUAUUUACUGGCUCAGUGUGUUUGCAUGAGAGUGGCGGGCAGAUCUCAGGCUGUCUCUGAGUGUUAAAUAGUUAAAUGCUGCCGAAUGUCCAUCAGUCCUACAUGUUGAAGCAUGCAUGCCCUGCUAGUGUUAUAUUUUUUUAAUCAGGCAGGGGAUCUGGACACUGUGUUUUAUCUGGUUAUUUCACACUGAGUGAUGUUCCUUUAAAGGUUGUAUGUGACAGUAAGUGCACGCUAAAAUGGGACGUUAGCAGUAUUGGGGCACAGUGUACAGGAACCAUGCAACAUUAUAUGCUGUAGAAUGCAUCGAGCUAAAACCACGAUGGUCAGUAAACCUCAGAGCCAGCAGCAGCACAAUCUGCACACAAAGAACAUAAAACAAGUGAUGCUCUAAGUAGUGUUUUGAACACUGGGACAUGCUCAUUAGUUCACAUGAACCUGUCUGUGAGCAUAAUAUGGUUUGCCCAUCAGUGUCAGCACUGAGCAGGGCACCACGAUUUGAUCUACAAUAUUAUCUGUCCAAAGUCAUGUUCAGUGUAACACACAGUGUCACAGCACUAAUUCAUGAUUUGUGAUGACAUCAAAGACAUAUUGUACAUUUACAAGGAUAAGAACCUUUCCUUAUUGCCUUUUGUCAAACCAUUCACUGUUCGGUAUGCUAAUGAUAUUCCAGACUCACUGUAUACAUAUUCUGACACAUACUCUGAGUAAUUAUGGCUGAAUAUAACGAAAAUUUGGAAAAGGUGAUUUCCCCCCCCCCCCCUUUUUGGUAUUGUAGGUACUCUCAGCAGAGUAUGUACUGAGGCUGUAGCUCAUUCACUGCUGAAGAAGCAGGAAACCCACAAGCACAGCAAAAACUGCAGUAAUCUACUUUAGGUUGUUUCAGGUAGCGACACACAUUUGAUUUGGUGGGCCCCAAACAGUUUUGUGUAUUUUCUCCCAGGAUCAAACUUUUGCUUGACAGACAGAUGCGUAAACCACUUUGACAUGGAGCCACUAUAACUGGUUAUAGUGGAACUAGAAUUCUGAAAAAAGUCAGAAUUCUGUCCUCAAACUCGAAAUUCUGAGUUUAAACUCAGUAUUCAGAAUUCUGAGUGUUAAGUCAGAAUUCUACGAGUUAGAGUUGUUCGUGGAAUUUUUAAGAGGGAAGACAUUUCACAAACUGACUUGUUGCGCUGGCAUCCCAUUGCAGUACAAUGCUUGAAUUCGGGAGCUCUUUAGAUCAACCUGUUCUUUCACCUGAAUUCAAACAUUAACAGGUGUGGCCUAUUUUGGACCAGGUACUGAAUCUAGUGUUUAAGCGAUUCAGCUUCUCAAAAUUAUGAUAGUUGCUACAAAAUCUGAAAGUUCAUGCAUGUGGAAUUACAAAUAAAGCGAGGAGAGGCACAGAUCCACAGGACUUGCUUGCUUUAAUGUAAAAUUGUCCUUAAAGAUAUAAUAAAUAUCAAUCGAUGACGAUAAGUGAUGUGUGGCCCACCAGGUGAAAAAUAUGACAUGAAACUAAAGUGAAUCACUGUGAUUUUACUGUGUCUAUUGUCAUGCUACACUCUCACUUUUACAAUGUGGAUCCUUUGUUAUUUGUGAUGACUGAUAAAAAUUGUAGUGUGGGAUCUUUCUUUAGCUUCUGAAGGGGGGCAGGUCUGAGAACAAAAUUACUGCAGUACAGUAAGUACUCGUAGCUGCUGAUAUUUUGUCCCCCUCCUAGAUAAUCAUACCAGCAUAAGGUAGCAAGGUUUGAUCCCUAGACAGGCGUUACCAGUCCUUGCUGUUUAUGAAAUUGGUCAAAAAUCUGCACAUAAAGACAUUUUUAAACAUGGUUAACCAGCAACUCAUCACUUGAAUAAAGCAUUGUAUGUUUGUGCGAAAUUAGAAACCGUGUGUGUGUAAUCUGACUUGAGAUCAACAUUUCAUCGAUAUUGUAUUUCAACCAUUGGUGGUGCUUUUAAAAGAACUGAAUUAUGCUUUUAAGAUAAGUUAUAUUUAUAAUUUCGCACCAUGCGUUUCGAUCACACAGAACAAUGUGAUACCCUCUGGGUUGACAGCAGACAUGAAACAAUUGUACAGCUGAAUAGCAGAGCCCAAACUGCCAUUGGAUUUAUGUUUGCACAACAUACACGAAGACAACAUCGUGAAUACUGUUUCAUGAGAUUUCUGAGAGCUGUCACACUGUUAACCUCUGCAAUGUGCACACACACACUUGUGUGAAGUUAGAGGCCAUGUGUGAUUCUGGGAGUGUUGGGCUCCCACAGGUAACCGGGAGCAGGUUUUAGAUUGACUCUGGGUUGUUUCUGGUGUCGAGCAGUUGGGCUGGGAAUAGGGAGCACAAUAUUAGAAAGGUAUUCAGUUCAAUCAUCUCAAACUAUGCAAUAGAUACUGAAAUAGGUGAAGCAUUUUGAUCCUGCUUUUCUCCUCCCACAUUUACCUCUUUUUCAUCUGCUUUCAGACGUACAUUGUACAUUGUGAAAUAU
Astatotilapia calliptera (eastern happy) is the source of this 3057-nucleotide long non-coding RNA. Lineage: Eukaryota; Metazoa; Chordata; Actinopteri; Cichliformes; Cichlidae. The record is from Ensembl.